AGGCAGCUAAGCUGGAUACAGCGGGACAAAGGACUAAAGAAAAAGAAAUGUGACCAUUCUGGUUGUGCAAAUGAGGACUUAGAAUCAGUUGUUCAGCUGAAGUGCUUGGAUGUAGGCUGUCUUCUUUGACAUCAUUUGUAGCCCAGCUAGCCAAGUAGAACAGCUGCACAGGUCAAUGCAUUUUGAAGCAGAUGGGGCAGUAAUUCAUGAAAAAUAGUGUUUAGAAAAGGUUUAAUGAAGAAAAUGGCCCUGGCUCUGAUGGGGAUUACCUUGAUUUUUGCCCUGUUACAUCAAAGGUUAUCUUGGCAGAGCUCAGUGUGGCCAAUGGAUCUUGGAUGCUCCUGGAAGUCAUAACAGCUAUGUACAGGCUGCGUGGUGUGAGGAAGCAGAGGGACAGCAAGAGCUGGACUCGCUGCAGAAAAGGUGUGUGCUUGAAUGUAACAGCCAAGCCAAAGUAAGCAGACCUGAAAAUACUUUCACCUGGCAUGGUCAGCUUGAACUUAUUUGGAAGUCAGCAGCUGUAUGGUUAAUAUUAAAUAAAGACAUGAAGACCUGCUGGGGACAUAUGGAUGAAAUUCAAGAAUAGAACCAGAACAGGUUGCACUGUGACUGAUGUGUGCAAACAAGCAAGCUCUGCACUGAGAAGGCAAGAAAGCAGCAGGCCAAACACUAAAAGAAUCCUGAAGUUUUAAGAAGAACCAAUGUUUUGGCCCUCAGGCAUUUCCCUUUUCUGCUUAGGAGUGCCUACAGCCAAUGCUGACUUGGUUACAAAUGUGAAAGCACCGUUUGUAUGAAUACCACAGAUGCUCUUAUUUCUGAGGAAUGAGAAGUAAUUCUAUGGCCAAUUCUCAUGAUGCUGAUUUUUAAAACAGAUCAAACAUGGAAACAGCAGGGGAAAAAAUCAAAGAUGUCUUUCCUAUUUAAUACAGACUCUUGGAUGGAGUAACCAUCCAGAAUUAGAUUUCAGAAGUAUGAUCCCUUUUCUUUGCAGAAUGAAACACUAUAGACUUACUGUACCAGGGGAGAAAGCAGGCUCUCUCCUAGUGCAUGCUCUGUUACAUAAAGUGCUCAGACAAGCUGAUUAAUCUAUGGGAGUUGGUAAUCAUUUGACUCUGGAUAUUUUGUUCAAAUGUUUUUUUCAGUGAUUCAUGAAGCUCUUAUCGGAAUUCAAAAAGCACUUCACGAAUCAACGAGGAGCUUAAAAAAAAAUUAGCAGUAAUGAGCUCAUUUCCAUAGAAAUAGGACUAGACUCACUGGUGGGUCAGACUGUUUUCUGCACUUCCACUUCCAGUAUUUUCCUCAAUUCUUCUCCAUUUAUUUCAUGCAUCAUUAUCUUCUGGUUUUUGUAUAUCCCAACCAUACCAUUUGGCUUUUUGUUCUCUAACCAACAACUGUCACUUCGAAGUAUUUCAAAAUGGUGGUUAAAAAAUGGUCCUCCAUAUUUCACUCAAGAAAUUUUAGAUUUUUUUGUCGUUUUGAAAGCCACUAUUCAAGACAGUUUCCUCAACAAAUUACAAAUCAUAGUUUGAAGGACUAUUAAGCAAAAAACUAUAAUGCCCAAGCCUCUCAAUUUCUGCUGGAUUAGCAAAGUGUUUUAAUGAUACUGCAUUUGUAUUCUUUCAGUUUCCUUUCAUGAAACAUCAAAGAAGAAACACAGAAUGCAUCUUUCAUAUUCCAGACGUACCACAAUACUUCAGUGUUUUCCGUUUCUUCAGAUUCACUGCUAACCAAGAUGAAAGCUGAGGUCUUGUGAGCAAAACCUAAGCCAUCUGAAAAGAAAUGGUAUCCCUUUGAGGUUCUCAGUGCGUUGGAAAGAGGGAAUUGCUUACAGGUUUGCUGUAUUGCACCACACAGCUUUUAUAUAUAAACACUUGCAUGUAUACCACAGCUAAGACUUGCUUUGGCAGGUUCCAGAGAAAGAACAUUGGGGUCAUGUUCGACAGGCUGGUGUAGAAGGUCACACAAUGGUGCUGGAGAUGUUUCAUGGAUUGUCUUCCAGGAGAUGAAGAAGGAACAAGAAAGAGAAUUCUUCUGGCUUGAAAUCAUCACCUGCAUGAAAGAAAAACCCACCAAAAAACUGAAAAGGUGUGCUGAGCCCCCAUCAGGGCUAUAGGAGCAGCUGCGGGUGUCAAAGCUUGUGAAAACAUGCUACAUUCACUGUUGUCCCUACUGCCAGGUUACAUUGAUAGGAAUGGCUCAGGGAUGCCCUCAGAAAAUGCAGACUUUUGGACUGAGAGGGAUUCUCCACUGGCUACUAGCAAUGUGCUGUCUGUCUUAUGUGCAUGUGCAGUUCAGGAUACACUACCUGAGACACCCACAGGCUUUUGAGAAGGACCAUGACUCUCAAGCAGCUCCAAGGC
Molecule: long non-coding RNA, 2360 nt
Organism: Oxyura jamaicensis (ruddy duck)
Lineage: Eukaryota; Metazoa; Chordata; Aves; Anseriformes; Anatidae
Exons: 11
Source: RefSeq, a predicted model, not a curated record